RNAcentral lists this ribosomal RNA (468 nucleotides) under uncultured bacterium. Its description in RNAcentral is "partial 16S ribosomal RNA". It matches the Rfam family "Bacterial small subunit ribosomal RNA", at positions 28 to 507 of the family's 1533-position model. The record is from RNAcentral.
GACGAACGCUGGCGGCGUGCUUAACACAUGCAAGUCGAACGGUAGGGCCCUGCUUUUGUGGGGUGCUCGAGUGGCGAACGGGUGAGUAACACGUGAGUAACCUGCCCUUGACUUUGGGAUAACUUCAGGAAACUGGGGCUAAUACCGGAUAGGAGCUCCUGCUGCAUGGUGGGGGUUGGAAAGUUUCGGCGGUUGGGGAUGGACUCGCGGCUUAUCAGCUUGUUGGUGGGGUAGUGGCUUACCAAGGCUUUGACGGGUAGCCGGCCUGAGAGGGUGACCGGCCACAUUGGGACUGAGAUACGGCCCAGACUCCUACGGGAGGCAGCAGUGGGGAAUAUUGCACAAUGGGCGGAAGCCUGAUGCAGCAACGCCGCGUGCGGGAUGACGGCCUUCGGGUUGUAAACCGCUUUCGCCUGUGACGAAGCGUGAGUGACGGUAAUGGGUAAAGAAGCACCGGCUAACUACGUG